AUUGAACGCUGGCGGCAGGCCUAACACAUGCAGUCGAGCGGAUGAAGGGAGCUUGCUCCUGGAUUCAGCGGCGGACGGGUGAGUAAUGCCUAGGAAUCUGCCUGGUAGUGGGGGAUAACGUCCGGAAACGGGCGCUAAUACCGCAUACGUCCUGAGGGAGAAAGUGGGGGAUCUUCGGACCUCACGCUAUCAGAUGAGCCUAGGUCGGAUUAGCUAGUUGGUGGGGUAAAGGCCUACCAAGGCGACGAUCCGUAACUGGUCUGAGAGGAUGAUCAGUCACACUGGAACUGAGGCACGGUCCAGACUCCUACGGGAGGCAGCAGUGGGGAAUAUUGGACAAUGGGCGAAAGCCUGAUCCAGCCAUGCCGCGUGUGUGAAGAAGGUCUUCGGAUUGUAAAGCACUUUAAGUUGGGAGGAAGGGCAGUAAGUUAAUACCUUGCUGUUUUGACGUUACCAACAGAAUAAGCACCGGCUAACUUCGUG
RNAcentral lists this ribosomal RNA (483 nucleotides) under uncultured bacterium. Its description in RNAcentral is "partial 16S ribosomal RNA". It matches the Rfam family "Bacterial small subunit ribosomal RNA", at positions 30 to 507 of the family's 1533-position model. The record is from RNAcentral.